GACGAACGCUGGCGGCGUGCCUAAUACAUGCAAGUCGAGCGCAGGAAGCCGUCUGAACCCUUCGGGGGGACGACGGUGGAAUGAGCGGCGGACGGGUGAGUAACACGUAAAGAACCUGCCCAUAGGUCUGGGAUAACCACGAGAAAUCGGGGCUAAUACCGGAUGUGUCAUCGGACCGCAUGGUCCGCUGAUGAAAGGCGCUCCGGCGUCGCCCAUGGAUGGCUUUGCGGUGCAUUAGCUAGUUGGUGGGGUAACGGCCCACCAAGGCGACGAUGCAUAGCCGACCUGAGAGGGUGAUCGGCCACACUGGGACUGAGACACGGCCCAGACUCCUACGGGAGGCAGCAGUAGGGAAUCUUCCACAAUGGACGAAAGUCUGAUGGAGCAACGCCGCGUGAACGAUGAAGGCUUUCGGGUCGUAAAGUUCUGUUGUAAGGGAAGAACAAGUGCCGCAGGCAAUGGCGGCACCUUGACGGUACCUUGCGAGAAAGCCACGGCUAACUACGUGCCAGCAGCCGCGGUAAUACGUAGGUGGCAAGCGUUGUCCGGAAUUAUUGGGCGUAAAGCGCGCGCAGGCGGCCUCUUAAGUCUGAUGUGAAAGCCCCCGGCUCAACCGGGGAGGGCCAUUGGAAACUGG
This 637-nucleotide ribosomal RNA is filed under the name uncultured bacterium. RNAcentral's name for it is "bacterial SSU rRNA". It matches the Rfam family "Bacterial small subunit ribosomal RNA", at positions 28 to 636 of the family's 1533-position model. The record is from RNAcentral.